UGAAUUUAAGGUUAGAUAAUACCUCAUAUUCUGUCCCGACGAAGGGUACAGGUGUGGGGUGUUACAUUUAGUAGUAUCAAAGUUAUGGUUUAGUCGGUUCUAUGACUAACCUAGCAAGAGUACGAGUCUAGCUAUACAUGCCAUAACUAUAUAUUGAUAGUGUGACAACUUCUGACGAUUAUAAAUUGUAUUUUCAUAUAGUAAAUGGAUCCUGAUAGAGCUACGACGCAUGACGUGGAGAGUAACACACUGACUCCCG
Molecule: long non-coding RNA, 259 nt
Filed under: Gossypium barbadense (sea-island cotton)
Lineage: Eukaryota; Viridiplantae; Streptophyta; Magnoliopsida; Malvales; Malvaceae
Description: long non-coding RNA (GBAR_LNC011429)
Source: RNAcentral